RNAcentral lists this ribosomal RNA (788 nucleotides) under Omus cazieri. RNAcentral's name for it is "partial 16S ribosomal RNA". The stretch from base 1 to 567 matches the Rfam family "Bacterial large subunit ribosomal RNA", at positions 1845 to 2925 of the family's 2925-position model. The record is from RNAcentral. Lineage: Eukaryota; Metazoa; Arthropoda; Insecta; Coleoptera; Carabidae.
AUUUAAGGUUUAACCUGCCCAAUGAUUAGAAUUUAAUGGCCGCAGUAUAUUAACUGUGCAAAGGUAGCAUAAUCAUUAGUUUUUUAAUUAAAAGCUUGUAUGAAAGGUUGGACGAAAUAAAAUCUGUCUUUAUAUAAUAAAAUAUAGAAUUUAACUUUUAAGUAAAAAGGCUUAAAUAUUAUUAAAAGACGAGAAGACCCUAUAGAUCUUUAUAAAUAAUUUAUUAAAAUUUUUAAAGAUUAUUUAUUAUUUUAUUAAUUAAUUUAUUUUAUUGGGGUAAUAUAAAGAUUAAAGUAAUUCUUUAAGUUUAUUUACAUUAAUUUAUGAAUUUAUGAUCCAUUUAUAGUGAUUAUAAGAUUAAGUUACCUUAGGGAUAACAGCGUAAUUUUUUUUGAGAGUUCAUAUCUAUAAAAAAGUUUGCGACCUCGAUGUUGGAUUAAAAAUUAUCUUAGGUGUAGAAGCUUAAGAAUUUGGUCUGUUCGACCAUUAAAUUUUUACAUGAUCUGAGUUCAGACCGGUGUAAGCCAGGUCGGUUUCUAUCUUUAAUAAGGAGUAAUAUUUUAGUACGAAAGGACCAAAUAUUUAAUAUAUUGAUAUUUAAAUUUUUGAAUAUUAUUAUUACUUUGGCAGAAGAUAGUGUAAUGAAUUUAGAAUUCAUAAAUGUAAUUUUAUUACAGGUAAUACUUGUUUAUAGGAGAUAUAUAUCUUAUAUUAAUUUGUAUGUUGUUAUUAGUAAUCUGUGUUUUAGUAGGUGUAGCUUUUUUAACUUUAUUGGAGCGAAAGGUGUU